This 402-nucleotide long non-coding RNA is filed under the name Actinidia chinensis (golden kiwifruit). RNAcentral describes it as "long non-coding RNA (ACHI_LNC000935)". Lineage: Eukaryota; Viridiplantae; Streptophyta; Magnoliopsida; Ericales; Actinidiaceae. The record is from RNAcentral.
GGGGCUGAACCAGACCUUGUCCAGGGCCACCAUCAGGAAGAGGAACUCCGCCAUGAUGAUGGGGAGGGUCAGGUUGAAGUCGAAGAGCGCCGCCUUCUCGAACUCCUCCGCCAGCGACGGUGGUGCGGCGGCCAGGGCGGCGACGGCGACGGCGGCGAAGGAUUUGAGGGAGGUGGAGGUAGAGAGAGAAGUGAGUUGCGGCUUUGGGAAUUUGGGGAUUUGGGGGAAUUUUGGGAAUUGGAGGUGUUUGGGUUUUGGGGCGGAGGAGGAGUGAGUUGGGAUUAGGGUUUUGGAGGAGGAGGCCAUGAUCAUGUUGGCCAUGGCUAUGGGACUGGUUGUGUCAAGUGGAGUAUUGCAAUGGGGUGUGUGAGAGAGAGGGAGAGGGGUUUGAUUUUGUGUGAA